Molecule: RNase P RNA, 209 nt
Filed under: Solirubrobacterales bacterium
Lineage: Bacteria; Bacillati; Actinomycetota; Thermoleophilia; Solirubrobacterales
Description: partial RNase P RNA component class A
Rfam family: Bacterial RNase P class A
About the family: Ribonuclease P (RNase P) is a ubiquitous endoribonuclease, found in archaea, bacteria and eukarya as well as chloroplasts and mitochondria.
Source: RNAcentral
GGUGUGGGUCGGACGGCUGCGGGGAGGGAGAAAACUCCUCGAGGAAAGUCCGGACACCACAGGGCAAGGACGGUGGGUAACGCCCACCCGGGGAAACCCGCGGGAAAGUGCCACAGAAAUACACGGCCGAUGGCGCGACCACACGUGAGUCGCGAUCAGGCAAAGGUGAAAAGGUGCGGUAAGAGCGCACCGGCGUCGUGGUGACACGG